AAAUGGAUGGCGCUCUAGCGUCGUGCCUAUACCGGGCCGUCAAGGCACAGUGGGCUGCCGGCAUGUUCGGAGCCGUUACGCCUUGACGAGUAGGUGGGUCGCGGCGGUGUGCGCAGAAGGGUCUGGGCGUGAGCCUGCCUGGAGCCGCCGUCGGCGCAGAUCUUGGUGGUAGUAGCGAAUACUCUAGCGAGGGCCUGGAGGACUGACGUGGAGAAGGGUUUCUUGUGAACAGCCGUUGCACAAGAGUCAGUCGACCCUAAGCCCUAGGAGAAAUCCGAUGUUGAUGGGUGGCUAAACAAAGAAUCCAUGAUCUGCUUGUUCACGUACCACGACGACUUUCGGUGCGGCCGCCCCUGAGUGGCCAGCCGGCGACUGUCGUGGUGAAACGCUGAGACAACAGCUCCCGUCGGGCAAAAGGGAAUCCGGUUCCUAUUCCGGAACCCGGCUGCGUAACCGCCAUUCAGCGGGCACUCGCCUGCGAGCGCUCGUCGGGGUAACCCAAACUGACCCGGAGACGCUGGCGGGGGGUCUGGAAAGAGUUUUCUUUUCUUUAUAAGCGUUCGAGUACCCUGGAAUCCUAUAGCAGGGAGAUAGGGUUUGGAACGCGAAGAGCACCGCAGUUGCGGCGGUGUCCGGACCUUCCCCCCGGACCUUGAAAAUCCGGGUGAGGGCUACGCGGAAGUCGCGCCGGAUCGUACCCAUAUCCGCAGCANGUCUCCAAGGUUAAGAGCCUCUAGUCGAUAGAAUAAUGUAGGUAAGGGAAGUCGGCAAA
RNAcentral lists this ribosomal RNA (772 nucleotides) under Oecleus productus. RNAcentral describes it as "eukaryotic LSU rRNA". It matches the Rfam family "Eukaryotic large subunit ribosomal RNA", at positions 1316 to 1921 of the family's 3401-position model. Lineage: Eukaryota; Metazoa; Arthropoda; Insecta; Hemiptera; Cixiidae. The record is from RNAcentral.